RNAcentral lists this ribosomal RNA (254 nucleotides) under uncultured bacterium. Its description in RNAcentral is "partial 16S ribosomal RNA". It matches the Rfam family "Bacterial small subunit ribosomal RNA", at positions 524 to 776 of the family's 1533-position model. The record is from RNAcentral.
GACGUAGGGUGCAAGCGUUGUCCGGAUUUACUGGGCGUAAAGAGCGCGUAGGCGGUCUGUUAAGUGUGAAGUGAAAUCUCCAGAGCUCAACUCGGAAACUGCUUCGCAUACUGGCAGGCUGGAGGAACGGAGAGGUGAGUGGAAUUCCUGGUGUACCGGUGAAAUGGGUUGAUAUCAGGAGGAACACCGAUGGCGAAGGCAGCUCACUGGCCGUUAUCUGACGCUGAAGCGCGAAAGCGUGGGUAGCAAACAGG